This 441-nucleotide ribosomal RNA is filed under the name uncultured bacterium. RNAcentral's name for it is "partial 16S ribosomal RNA". It matches the Rfam family "Bacterial small subunit ribosomal RNA", at positions 338 to 795 of the family's 1533-position model. The record is from RNAcentral.
CCUACGGGUGGCAGCAGUGGGGGAUAUUGCACAAUGGGGGGAACCCUGAUGCAGCGACGCCGCGUGGGUGAAGGAGUGCUUCGGCAUGUAAAGCCCUAUCGGCAGGGAAGAAGCAAGACGGUACCUGACUAAGAAGCCCCGGCUAACUACGUGCCAGCAGCCGCGGUAAUACGUAGGGGGCGAGCGUUAUCCGGAUUCACUGGGUGUAAAGGGAGCGUAGACGGCCAUGCAAGCCAGGGGUGAAAGCCCGGGGCACAACCCCGGGACUGCCCUUGGAACUGUGCGGCUAGAGUGCGGGAGGGGCAGGCGGAAUUCCUGGUGUAGGGGUGAAAUGCGUAGAUAUCAGGAGGAACAGCGGCGGCGAAGGCGGCCUGCUGGACCGCGACUGACGUUGAGGCUCGAAAGCGUGGGGAGCGAACAGGAUUAGAUACCCGGGUAGUC